GACUGAACGACCAAUGUGGGGAA
This 23-nucleotide unclassified non-coding RNA is filed under the name Saccharomyces cerevisiae (brewer's yeast). RNAcentral describes it as "RNA (5'-R(*GP*AP*CP*UP*GP*AP*AP*CP*GP*AP*CP*CP*AP*AP*UP*GP*UP*GP*GP*GP*GP*AP*A)-... from Saccharomyces cerevisiae (PDB 5ED1, chain C)". The record is from RNAcentral. Lineage: Eukaryota; Fungi; Ascomycota; Saccharomycetes; Saccharomycetales; Saccharomycetaceae.